RNAcentral lists this ribosomal RNA (925 nucleotides) under uncultured bacterium. Its description in RNAcentral is "bacterial SSU rRNA". It matches the Rfam family "Bacterial small subunit ribosomal RNA", at positions 33 to 940 of the family's 1533-position model. The record is from RNAcentral.
ACGCUGGCGGCGUGCCUAAUACAUGCAAGUAGAACGCUGAAGAGAGGAGCUUGCUCUUCUUGGAUGAGUUGCGAACGGGUGAGUAACGCGUAGGUAACCUGCCUUGUAGCGGGGGAUAACUAUUGGAAACGAUAGCUAAUACCGCAUAACAAUGGAUGACACAUGUCAUUUAUUUGAAAGGGGCAAUUGCUCCACUACAAGAUGGACCUGCGUUGUAUUAGCUAGUAGGUGAGGUAACGGCUCACCUAGGCGACGAUACAUAGCCGACCUGAGAGGGUGAUCGGCCACACUGGGACUGAGACACGGCCCAGACUCCUACGGGAGGCAGCAGUAGGGAAUCUUCGGCAAUGGGGGCAACCCUGACCGAGCAACGCCGCGUGAGUGAAGAAGGUUUUCGGAUUGUAAAGCUCUGUUGUAAGUCAAGAACGAGUGUGAGAGUGGAAAGUUCACACUGUGACGGUAGCUUACCAGAAAGGGACGGCUAACUACGUGCCAGCAGCCGCGGUAAUACGUAGGUCCCGAGCGUUGUCCGGAUUUAUUGGGCGUAAAGCGAGCGCAGGCGGUUUGAUAAGUCUGAAGUUAAAGGCUGUGGCUCAACCAUAGUUCGCUUUGGAAACUGUCAAACUUGAGUGCAGAAGGGGAGAGUGGAAUUCCAUGUGUAGCGGUGAAAUGCGUAGAUAUAUGGAGGAACACCGGUGGCGAAAGCGGCUCUCUGGUCUGUAACUGACGCUGAGGCUCGAAAGCGUGGGGAGCGAACAGGAUUAGAUACCCUGGUAGUCCACGCCGUAAACGAUGAGUGCUAGGUGUUGGAUCCUUUCCGGGAUUCAGUGCCGCAGCUAACGCAUUAAGCACUCCGCCUGGGGAGUACGACCGCAAGGUUGAAACUCAAAGGAAUUGACGGGGGCCCGCACAAGCGGUGGAGCAU